Molecule: ribosomal RNA, 154 nt
Filed under: Tomentella sublilacina
Lineage: Eukaryota; Fungi; Basidiomycota; Agaricomycetes; Thelephorales; Thelephoraceae
Description: partial 28S ribosomal RNA
Rfam family: Eukaryotic large subunit ribosomal RNA
Source: RNAcentral
UCGAUCUCAAAUCAGGUAGGACUACCCGCUGAACUUAAGCAUAUCAAUAAGCGGAGGAAAAGAAACUAACAAGGAUUCCCCUAGUAACUGCGAGUGAAGCGGGAAGAGCUCAAUUUAAAUCUGGCGUGCCUCUGGUCGUCCGAGUUGUAGUCUA